RNAcentral lists this ribosomal RNA (497 nucleotides) under uncultured bacterium. RNAcentral describes it as "partial 16S ribosomal RNA". It matches the Rfam family "Bacterial small subunit ribosomal RNA", at positions 28 to 507 of the family's 1533-position model. The record is from RNAcentral.
GAUGAACGCUGGCGGCGUGCCUAAUACAUGCCAGUCGAGCGAACGGACGAGAAGCUUGCUUCUCUGAUGUUAGCGGCGGACGGGUGAGUAACACGUGGAUAACCUACCUAUAAGACUGGGAUAACUUCGGGAAACCGGAGCUAAUACCGGAUAAUAUUUUGAACCGCAUGGUUCAAAAGUGAAAGACGGUCUUGCUGUCACUUAUAGAUGGAUCCGCGCUGCAUUAGCUAGUUGGUAAGGUAACGGCUUACCAAGGCAACGAUGCAUAGCCGACCUGAGAGGGUGAUCGGCCACACUGGAACUGAGACACGGUCCAGACUCCUACGGGAGGCAGCAGUAGGGAAUCUUCCGCAAUGGGCGAAAGCCUGACGGAGCAACGCCGCGUGAGUGAUGAAGGUCUUCGGAUCGAAAAACUCUGUUAUUAGGGAAGAACAUAUGUGUAAGUAACUGUGCACAUCUUGACGGUACCUAAUCAGAAAGCCACGGCUAACUACGUG